UCCACGCAGCCCCUCCUCUCCCUUGUUCACAUUCCUCUCUUCCUCAUUUCUUCUUCACUCACUCGCACACACACGGCCGUGAGAGAGAGAGCUGCCAUGGGAGAGAUUGAUGCCGAGAGUGAGGCGUUGCAGAUUUUUGAGAGGGAGAUUUAGAGCACGACGCAAGGAAGAAGACGAAGAGGAGAAAUGGAUUUUCGGACAUGGGUCUUUGUAAGGCACGUGUCUUGAUUGGAGACUUCAACUUGUUCUCCAAUGUAGAGUUCAAGUAAAUAGAACACGGGGAGUGUUCGAGUCAUGAGUUUAAUGCAGCCAAGAUGUUCCUUUGGCUGCAGGUACUCCGGUAGUAGGGGAGAGUGUUGUAGAUGUGCACUUGGGAUAAUAUGACCGAAGCUCGCCGCGACGGUCGUAAUGGUUGGACCACAGUUGUCCACAAUUUUAUAGGUUCUGUUUAUGGCUUGUGACGCUUUGGUCACUAGUUAUUGUAUAAGCCAUUACUGUUGUUUAAAUAUUAUGUUGAUAAAACUUAAACAUAUAGAUGUUAAAUGGCUCUGUAUUGUAAAUAAUUUGUAAUAGAUGUAUAAGCUAUACUUUUCACUAUUCAGGUUUAUGUUUCCGCUGUAUAGUUAGUUAUAUGUUAUACUCUGAUUUACCAGGUGUAUAUAUUAUGGGAUAUAUACCAUAUGUUGGCUUUGCGAUACAUCGUCGUGCC
Molecule: long non-coding RNA, 709 nt
Organism: Alnus glutinosa
Lineage: Eukaryota; Viridiplantae; Streptophyta; Magnoliopsida; Fagales; Betulaceae
Exons: 3
Source: RefSeq, a predicted model, not a curated record